This 21-nucleotide microRNA is filed under the name Helianthus annuus (common sunflower). RNAcentral describes it as "cca-miR156b". Lineage: Eukaryota; Viridiplantae; Streptophyta; Magnoliopsida; Asterales; Asteraceae. The record is from RNAcentral. RNAcentral also lists the same sequence under 1 other name.
UGACAGAAGAGAGUGAGCAUA